UCACAUGUUUAGUGUAAAUUGUCACAUGACCAGAGCUGUUUACUUCCUGGUUGCACCAUGAGAAGAGGAUGGCUGCAUCAAAGCUCCCAAACAAAAGUUUCACUUUGAGUCAAGUUCGGGAUAUGUUGGAUCUAGGUGACUGCCCAGACAAGGCAUGCAACAUUGCCGUUAUCCCUCAAAAUGAGAAAGAUGCUGUCCUGAGUGAUUGUGAUAGCGAUGGGUCAGAUAUGGACUAUGGACAGGCCAUUUGCCAGCCAGGCUGUUGAAUGCAUAUGCUGAACCUAUGCAAACAGAUCAUGACAGGAACAACGUUAUCAGUGAUGAUGCCCUACCCCCCACGUCCUCCAUUGUUGAUAAUAAAGAGCCAAGGGCCUCUACCCGCCAGAGGGUCCAGUCAGAAGAGCCAAGGGCCUCUACAAGCCAUAGGAGUCAGUCAGAAGAGCCAAGGGAAAAGCUGCAGGUGGCCAAAAAUAAAGAUUGAGUGUUCAAACGAUCGAAGAGGCCUGCCACCGCUGUGAUUCCAAAACACAUAGUAUACAGCCCAAAUAUGCAAAAGUUUGGCACGAAACCACUGAGCCACGGAAGGAGGUCUUUACUGGCUGCUACUGUUGAAGAUCAGGCAAGAUAUGACAAAGCUUCUCACUGGGCAAUCAACACGAUGUACCGAUUCCAGAGAAGUCGUCAUUGUGACAAACGUACUACCUAUGCAUGUGAGAAAUGCAAAGCGCCACUGCACAUUGAGUGCUUCAAGAUAUACCAUGGACAGUAGAAAAUAAGAGCGAAUGGAAUAAGGGCUGAAAAAGACAAUAAAAGAAAAAUAGAAAAGUCGAUAAAGGGUGAGGAGAAGCAGUACAACGGACUCUAGGAAGAAAGGAAAAGUCUUUCAAAAUGACUGAAAUGUUUUUGGAAAAGAAGGUCAAUUGAUUCAAGACAUACUGUAUGACAGUAGGUCUGACUCAUCACAGUUUAAAAUAGUUAUGCACAAACUAAUCUUGCACUUGGUUCUGAAGCCUACCUCUAUGAUAUAUAUAUAUAAAUAUAUAUAUAUAAAAGCACUCAUUGUGCAGUGGCGCUUUUUAUUUAAAUAAUUGUAUUUUGUUCAGUGUAGGCCUCUACUUGAAUGCAUAUUCUACAGGCUACCUCUAUUCUAAAUGUUACCUUUAUGUUCAGUGUCUCUACUUGAAUACAUAAUCUACAGGCUACCUCUAUUCUAAAUGUUACCUUUAUGUUCAGUGUCUCUACUUGAAUACAUAUUCUACAGGCUACCUCUAUUCUAAACGUUACCUUUAUGUUCAGUGUCUCUACUUGAAUGCAUAUUCUACAGGCUACCUCUAUUCUAAAUGUUACCUUUAUGUUCAGUGUCUCUACUUGAAUGCAUAUUCUACAGGCUACCUCUAUUCUAAAUGUUACCUUUAUGUUCAGUGUCUCUACUUGAAUACAUAUUCUACAGGCUACCUCUAUUCUAAACGUUACCUUUAUGUUCAGUGUAGGCCUCUACUUGAAUACAUAUUCUACAGGCUACCUCUAUUCUAAAUGUUACCUUUAUGUUCAGUGUCGGCCUCUACUUGAAUGCAUAUUCUACAGGCUACCUCUAUUGUUACAGUUGUUACUGAAUGUUGCACUAAAAUGUCACAUUGAAAAUGUUACAAUGAAUAUUGCAAUAAAGUACAAGUUCAAAAGUUACAAUAAAGUUACAAUAUUAAUGUUUCAAUACAUGUUGCGCUAAAGUAACAGUGUUACAAUGUAUGUUACAAUAAAUUAACAAUGUUGAAAUAC
Molecule: long non-coding RNA, 1776 nt
Organism: Salvelinus fontinalis (brook trout)
Lineage: Eukaryota; Metazoa; Chordata; Actinopteri; Salmoniformes; Salmonidae
Exons: 2
Source: RefSeq, a predicted model, not a curated record